RNAcentral lists this microRNA (22 nucleotides) under Rattus norvegicus (Norway rat). Lineage: Eukaryota; Metazoa; Chordata; Mammalia; Rodentia; Muridae. The record is from RNAcentral.
GCGAAUAUAACACGGUCGAUCU